This 1402-nucleotide ribosomal RNA is filed under the name uncultured bacterium. Its description in RNAcentral is "16S ribosomal RNA". It matches the Rfam family "Bacterial small subunit ribosomal RNA". The record is from RNAcentral.
GAUUAACGCUGGCGGCGUGCCUAAGUAUAUGCAAGUCGUAGAGCAGUUCGGCUGCUCGGCGGACGGGUGAGUAACGCGUUGAUAUCUACCCCAAAGUCAGGGAUACCCCCGGGAAACUGGGAAUAAUACCUGAUAGUCCCUGAUAGGUUUAUGCCUCAUCAGGGUAAAACUCCGGUGCUUUGGGAAGAGUCUGCGUGCUAUCAGCUUGUUGGUGAGGUAAUGGCUCACCAAGGCUAUGACGGCUAGGGGACGUGAGAGCGUGACCCCCCACAAUGGGACUGAGACACGGCCCAUACUCCUACGGGAGGCAGCAAUUUGGAAUAUUGCACAAUGCCCGAAAGGGUGAUGCAGCGACGCCGCAUGGACGAAGAAGGCCUUCGGGUUGUAAAGUCCUAAAACAGAGGAGUAAAUCUUGAAUUAACUCUGUUAUUAGUCCUGACUAACUAUGUGCCAGCAGUCGCGGUAAUACAUAGAGGGCAAGCGUUAUCCGGAAUCACUGGGCAUAAAGGGUGCGUAGGCGUUCCAGUAAGUCUUUGGUUAAAUCUUUCCGCCUAACGGAAAGACUGCCAGAGAAACUGCUGGAAUAGAGGCAGGUAGGGGCAGACGGAACUAAUGGUGUAGGGGUGAAAUCCGUUGAUAUCAUUGGGAACACCGAAAGCGAAGGCAGUCUGCUAGGCCUGUUCUGACGCUGAGGCACGAAAGCGUGGGUAGCGAAUCGGAUUAGAUACCCGAGUAGUCCACGCCGUAAACGAUGAUCACUAGAGAUCAGAUGGCAUCGACCCCACUGGUCUCGAAGCUAAUGCGUUAAGUGAUCCGCCUGGGAAGUACGCCCGCAAGGGUGAAACUCAAAGGAAUUGACGGGAACCCACACAAGCGGUGGAGCGUGUGGUUUAAUUCGACAAUAAGCGAAGAACCUUACCAGGGCUUGACAUCUCUGGAAUCUCCGAGAAACCGGAGAGUGCCCUUCGGGGAGCCAGAAGACAGGUGUUGCAUGGCUGUCGUCAGCUCGUGUUGUGAAAUGUUGGGUUAAGUCCCUGAACGAGCGCAACCCUUGCUCUAUGUUAAAUUUGUCAUAGAGGACUGCCGUGGUCAACACGGAGGAAGGUGAGGAUGACGUCAAGUCAGCAUGGCCCUUAUGCCCUGGGCGACACACGCGCUACAAUGGUGCAGACAAAGGGUUUUGCCAAACCGCGAGGUGGAGCUAAUCCCCAAAAUGCACCCCAGUACGGAUUGGAGUCUGCAACCCGACUCCAUGAAGAUGGAAUCGCUAGUAACCGUGGGUCAGCCACAUCACGGUGAAUAUGUUCCUGGGUUUUGUACACACCGCCCGUCAUGUCAAAGAAGCUGGUGGCACUGGAUAUUCCGCCAAUUCGGCGGAACGAAGGUGAAACCAGUGACUGGG